CGGCGAGCGGCGAGCGUCCACCUCGUGGGCCGAGUGCACAGCGCCGCGCUGGCAGAACCUCUCAGGAGAAGUCAAACACGCCAGAGACAGACAGUCACGCUGAUGGCAGCCACGGAGGAUUUACCACUGCUGCAUAUCUAAAAAGGGCUAAACUAGGGAAUAAAGCAGCUGAGGAAAUGGAUGCCUGUGGUCUGGUCCGAGGGCCUUACACCGGACAGGCGCAGGGCCCCCGACGAGGUGGUUCCCACCGGCACACACAAAAUGGCGGUGCAGAGCUGAACUGGAAACCAUGGCAACACAGUGCUUGCCUCUCUAAUCCCUCGGCCCUGCGUAGACGAAUACCUGCGCGGGCACCGGCCUAUUCAACACCUGCAUGAAAGAAAACCUUC
Gasterosteus aculeatus aculeatus (three-spined stickleback) is the source of this 389-nucleotide long non-coding RNA. The record is from Ensembl. Lineage: Eukaryota; Metazoa; Chordata; Actinopteri; Perciformes; Gasterosteidae.